GUGUCAGCAGCCGCGGUAAUACGUAGGUGGCAAGCGUUAUCCGGAAUUACUGGGUGUAAAGGGUGCGUAGGCGGGGUCUAAAGUCAGAUGUGAAAUGCUGCAGCUUAACUGCGGCACUGCAUUUGAAACUUAGGUUCUUGAGUGAGGUAGAGGUAAGCGGAAUUCCCAGUGUAGCGGUGAAAUGCGUAGAUAUUGGGAGGAACACCAGUGGCGAAGGCGGCUUACUGGGCCUUAACUGACGCUGAGGCACGAAAGCGUGGGGAGCAAACAGGAUUAGAUACCCUGGUAGUCCACGCUGUAAACGAUGGAUACUAGGUGUGGGGGGUCUGACCCCUUCCGUGCCGGAGUUAACACAAUAAGUAUCCCACCUGGGGAGUACGGCCGCAAGGUUGAA
RNAcentral lists this ribosomal RNA (394 nucleotides) under uncultured bacterium. Its description in RNAcentral is "bacterial SSU rRNA". It matches the Rfam family "Bacterial small subunit ribosomal RNA", at positions 505 to 898 of the family's 1533-position model. The record is from RNAcentral.